RNAcentral lists this microRNA precursor (156 nucleotides) under Prunus dulcis (almond). RNAcentral's name for it is "sRNA ncRNA". Lineage: Eukaryota; Viridiplantae; Streptophyta; Magnoliopsida; Rosales; Rosaceae. The record is from RNAcentral.
GAGAGGAGGGAAAGGGAGAUUGGAGCUACUGGGAAUUGUAGGAAUGGGCUGUUUGGGAUGAAAGAAAAUCACUAAGAAAAUUUUCUUAUUGAUAUUUUCUUCCCAAGCCCGCCCAUUCCAAUGAUUUCCAGCGGCUCCUCCCUUUCCCUUCCAUCU